RNAcentral lists this unclassified non-coding RNA (241 nucleotides) under uncultured Pseudeurotiaceae. RNAcentral describes it as "sequence contains ITS2". The stretch from base 1 to 52 matches the Rfam family "5.8S ribosomal RNA", at positions 103 to 154 of the family's 154-position model. The record is from RNAcentral. Lineage: Eukaryota; Fungi; Ascomycota; Leotiomycetes; Thelebolales; Pseudeurotiaceae.
AACGCACAUUGCGCCCCCUGGUAUUCCGGGGGGCAUGCCUGUCCGAGCGUCAUUACAACCCUCAAGCUCCGCUUGGUAUUGGGCCCUGCCAGCUCUGGCAGGCCCUAAAGUCAGUGGCGGCGCCGCCCGGCUCCGAGCGUAGUAAUUCUUCUCGCUCUGGAGGCCCGGGCGCGUGCUCGCCAGCAACCCCCAACUUCUUCAGGUUGACCUCGGAUCAGGUAGGGAUACCCGCUGAACUUAA